GGCCAUACCACCCUGAACGCGCCCGAUCUCGUCUGAUCUCGGAAGCUAAGCAGGGUCGGGCCUGGUUAGUACUUAGUACUUGGAUGGGAGAAGUUAGUGUC
This is a ribosomal RNA of Ochotona princeps (American pika), 101 nucleotides long. The record is from Ensembl. Lineage: Eukaryota; Metazoa; Chordata; Mammalia; Lagomorpha; Ochotonidae.